CGGACGGGUGAGUAAUGUCUGGGAAACUGCCUGAUUGAGGGGGAUAACUACUGGAAACGGUAGCUAAUACCGCAUAACGUCGCAAGACCAAAGAGGGGGACCUUCGGGCCUCUUGCCAUCAGAUGUGCCCAGAUGGGAUUAGCUAGUAGGUGGGGUAACGGCUCACCUAGGCGACGAUCCCUAGCUGGUCUGAGAGGAUGACCAGCCACACUGGAACUGAGACACGGUCCAG
This 232-nucleotide ribosomal RNA is filed under the name uncultured Enterobacterales bacterium. RNAcentral describes it as "partial 16S ribosomal RNA". It matches the Rfam family "Bacterial small subunit ribosomal RNA", at positions 99 to 334 of the family's 1533-position model. Lineage: Bacteria; Pseudomonadati; Pseudomonadota; Gammaproteobacteria; Enterobacterales. The record is from RNAcentral.